This 369-nucleotide long non-coding RNA is filed under the name Rattus norvegicus (Norway rat). RNAcentral's name for it is "long non-coding RNA NONRATT017956". Lineage: Eukaryota; Metazoa; Chordata; Mammalia; Rodentia; Muridae. The record is from RNAcentral.
UCUGAUGAUGAAGAUGAUGCUGAUGAGCAAGAUGAGGAUAAACGUUGUGGUAUUGAGGGAAACAUCGAACAGAGCAAAGUGUCCAGGGAGAAUGACUGUUCAGAGCAGCAUGAUUUGGUAGUUAACACCAGUGUGGAAAAGAAGCUUGUGAAGGAAGAAGAAACAAAUUGUCCUAUAGAAUUUGAGGACUCUGAAUCUCAGGUUUUUGAGUUUGAAAGUUCAUCUGAAGUCUUUUCAGUUUGGCAAGAUCAUAAAAUAGACAGCAAAAGUUCCCUUCAAGAGGAUCAAAAGAGCUGUAUAGCUCAUGUAGCUGAUAGUACAAACAAUAACUUAGGUUGUGGUGCAGAUUCUGUGUCUGAAGAGGUUGUU